GACGAACGCUGGCGGCGUGCUUAACACAUGCAAGUCGAACGGAAAGGCCCUGCUUUUGUGGGGUGCUCGGGUGGCGAACGGGGGAGUGACACGUGAGUAACCUGCCCUUGUCUUUGGGAUAACUUCAGGAAACUGGGGCUAAUACAGGAUAGGAUAUCCUGCUGCGUGGUGGGGGUUGGAAAGUUUCGGCGGUUGGGGAUGGACUCGCGGGUUAUCAGCUUGUUGGUGGGGUAGUGGCUGCCCAAGGCUUUGACGGGUCGCCGGCCUGAGAGGGUGACCGGCCACAAUGGGACUGAGAGACGGCCCAGACUCCUACGGGAGGCAGCAGGGGGGAAUAUUGCACAAUGGGCCGACGCCUGAUGCAGCAACGCCGCGUGCGGGAUGACGGCCUUCUGGUUGUAAACCGCUUUCGCCUGUGACGAAGCGUGAGUGACGGUAAUGGGUAAAGAAGCACCGGCUAACUACGUG
RNAcentral lists this ribosomal RNA (468 nucleotides) under uncultured bacterium. RNAcentral describes it as "partial 16S ribosomal RNA". It matches the Rfam family "Bacterial small subunit ribosomal RNA", at positions 28 to 507 of the family's 1533-position model. The record is from RNAcentral.